GAUGAACGCUGGCGGCGUGCCUAAUACAUGCAAGUCGAGCGAACGGACGAGAAGCUUGCUUCUCUGAUGUUAGCGGCGGACGGGUGAGUAACACGUGGAUAACCUACCUAUAAGACUGGGAUAACUUCGGGAAACCGGAGUUAAUACCGGAUGAUAUUUUGAACCGCAUGGUUCAAAAGUGAAAGACGGUCUUGCUGUCACUUAUAGAUGGAUCCGCGCUGCAUUAGCUAGUUGGUAAGGUAACGGCUUACCAAGGCAACGAUGCAUAGCCGACCUGAGAGGGUGAUCGGCCACACUGGAACUGAGACACGGUCCAGACUCCUAAGGGAGGCAGCAGUAGGGAAUCUUCCGCAAUGGGCGAAAGCCUGACGGAGCAACGCCGCGUGAGUGAUGAAGGUCUUCGGAUCGUAAAACUCUGUUAUUAGGGAAGAACAUAUGUGUAAGUAACUGUGCACAUCUUGACGGUACCUAAUCAGAAAGCCACGGCUAACUACGUG
RNAcentral lists this ribosomal RNA (497 nucleotides) under uncultured bacterium. RNAcentral describes it as "partial 16S ribosomal RNA". It matches the Rfam family "Bacterial small subunit ribosomal RNA", at positions 28 to 507 of the family's 1533-position model. The record is from RNAcentral.